This 492-nucleotide ribosomal RNA is filed under the name uncultured bacterium. RNAcentral describes it as "partial 16S ribosomal RNA". It matches the Rfam family "Bacterial small subunit ribosomal RNA", at positions 29 to 507 of the family's 1533-position model. The record is from RNAcentral.
AGUGAACGCUGGCGGUAGGCCUAACACAUGCAAGUCGAACGGCAGCACAGUAAUAGCUUGCUCUUACGGGUGGCGAGUGGCGGACGGGUGGGGAAUACAUCGGAAUCUACUUUUUCGUGGGGGAUAACGUAGGGAAACUUACGCUAAUACCGCAUACGACCUACGGGUGAAAGCAGGGGAUCUUCGGACCUUGCGCGAUUGAAUGAGCCGAUGUCGGAUUAGCUGGUUGGCGGGGUAAAGGCCCACCAAGGCGACGAUCCGUAGCUGGUCUGAGAGGAGGAUCGGCCACAUGGGAGCUGAGACACGGUCCAGACUCCUACGGGAGGCAGCAGUCGGGAAUAUUGGACAAUGGGCGCAAGCCUGAUCCAGCCAUACCGCGUGUGUGAAGAAGGCCUUCGGGUUGUAAAGCCCUUUUGUUGGGAAAGAAAAGCAGCAGGUUAAUACCCAGCUGUUCUGACGGUACCCAAAGAAUAAGCACCGGCUAACUUAGUG